This 892-nucleotide ribosomal RNA is filed under the name Triticum aestivum (bread wheat). RNAcentral's name for it is "partial small subunit ribosomal RNA". The record is from RNAcentral. Lineage: Eukaryota; Viridiplantae; Streptophyta; Magnoliopsida; Poales; Poaceae.
UGAGAUGGAAUGAAAUGAAAAAUGUUAAAAUUAGUGAUUUCUUUUCUGGUAAUAUAUACAAACAUUGAUUGUAUUUUACUAGUAACAAAUUUAGACAGAAUCAUCAAUAUUUGACUAAGGGCAUGCAUAAAAUUACAUUGCAAAAGGCACAAGUGAAAGAGCACGAUGGAGCACAGCCUGAUUCUCUUUCUUUUUUUCUCUCGCAUGGUGUAGCACGCCAGUGUCUGAGUGCUGCGCGAGCUGCUCAUGUUGUGUCGAUCAGCAAAUUGAUAGUUGCAGUUCCAUCUCAUGCCACCGCUCCACUUCUCCAUGGCCGCUUCCGCGGUACAGAUGUGCCAGUGGCAGGACGGCUGCUCCUCCCGAGAGAGAGAUGAGAUGGCGAAACCGCAGCCGCCAGAUCGGGGAGGUGCUCCAGCCGAACGCCCGCCGGCCUGCGCCUUCACGCUCCCGUCCCUGCACCUGCUCACCUGCUCUGCCACGACGCUCUUCACCAGGUGCGUCCUCCGGCUCGAUCUCUGUGCUGGAGUCGCCACCGUCUUCCCGGCUGCGAGCUGCGCGCCCGCCGGUCGCCAUCGCUCGCCUCCCCAGAUGCCGCAAGGGCACUGGACGCUGAUUGAAGAGGGAGAGAGAGAUGAGGGAGAAGGCGCAGGGGAAAGAGAGGAAGAGACGAGGAGGAGCGGUUCCGCGUCGUUCCACCAAUUUGGAGGAACGAGCGUGUUACGCAUCUGGAGCGAAUAUUCCCAUUCGGGGAACGAGUGGGUUCCUGUUCCAGUUGCCUACCAAACAUAAGAACGAGCCCAAAGGACGGGUCGGACCCAUUUCAUUCUCCUUGCUGACACAUACCAAACACACAAAGUUCCCUCCUGUUAACUAUUUCUUAUAUUUCAGGUCC